GCUAGUCGAGCGGACGAAGGGAGCUUGCUCCCGGAUGUUAGCGGCGGACGGGUGAGUAACACGUGGGUAACCUGCCUGUAAGACUGGGAUAACUCCGGGAAACCGGAGCUAAUACCGGAUAGUUCCUUGAACCGCAUGGUUCAAGGAUGAAAGACGGUUUCGGCUGUCACUUACAGAUGGACCCGCGGCGCAUUAGCUAGUUGGUGGGGUAAUGGCUCACCAAGGCGACGAUGCGUAGCCGACCUGAGAGGGUGAUCGGCCACACUGGGACUGAGACACGGCCCAGACUCCUACGGGAGGCAGCAGUAGGGAAUCUUCCGCAAUGGACGAAAGUCUGACGGAGCAACGCCGCGUGAGUGAUGAAGGUUUUCGGAUCGUAAAGCUCUGUUGUUAGGGAAGAACAAGUGCGAGAGUAACUGCUCGCACCUUGACGGUACCUAACCAGAAAGCCACGGCUAACUACGUGCCAGCAGCCGCGGUAAUACGUAGGUGGCAAGCGUUGUCCGGAAUUAUUGGGCGUAAAGGGCUCGCAGGCGGUUUCUUAAGUCUGAUGUGAAAGCCCCCGGCUCAACCGGGGAGGGUCAUUGGAAACUGGGAAACUUGAGUGCAGAAGAGGAGAGUGGAAUUCCACGUGUAGCGGUGAAAUGCGUAGAGAUGUGGAGGAACACCAGUGGCGAAGGCGACUCUCUGGUCUGUAACUGACGCUGAGGAGCGAAAGCGUGGGGAGCGAACAGGAUUAGAUACCCUGGUAGUCCACGCCGUAAACGAUGAGUGCUAAGUGUUAGGGGGUUUCCGCCCCUUAGUGCUGCAGCUAACGCAUUAAGCACUCCGCCUGGGGAGUACGGUCGCAAGACUGAAACUCAAAGGAAUUGACGGGGGCCCGCACAAGCGGUGGAGCAUGUGGUUUAAUUCGAAGCAACGCGAAGAACCUUACCAGGUCUUGACAUCCUCUGACAACCCUAGAGAUAGGGCUUUCCCUUCGGGGACAGAGUGACAGGUGGUGCAUGGUUGUCGUCAGCUCCUGUCGU
This 1028-nucleotide ribosomal RNA is filed under the name Bacillus pumilus. RNAcentral describes it as "bacterial SSU rRNA". It matches the Rfam family "Bacterial small subunit ribosomal RNA", at positions 57 to 1068 of the family's 1533-position model. The record is from RNAcentral. Lineage: Bacteria; Bacillati; Bacillota; Bacilli; Caryophanales; Bacillaceae.